Molecule: ribosomal RNA, 489 nt
Filed under: uncultured bacterium
Lineage: Bacteria
Description: bacterial SSU rRNA
Rfam family: Bacterial small subunit ribosomal RNA
Source: RNAcentral
AUUGAACGCUGGCGGCAUGCUUUACACAUGCAAGUCGAACGGUAACAGGCCUUCGGGUGCUGACGAGUGGCGAACGGGUGAGUAAUGCAUCGGAACGUGCCCAAUCGUGGGGGAUAACGUAGCGAAAGUUACGCUAAUACCGCAUAAGCCCUGAGGGGGAAAGCAGGGGAUCGCAAGACCUUGCGCGAAUGGAGCGGCCGAUGUCAGAUUAGCUAGUUGGUGGGGUAAAGGCCUACCAAGGCGACGAUCUGUAGCGGGUCUGAGAGGAUGAUCCGCCACACUGGGACUGAGACACGGCCCAGACUCCUACGGGAGGCAGCAGUGGGGAAUAUUGGACAAUGGGCGCAAGCCUGAUCCAGCAAUGCCGCGUGUGUGAAGAAGGCCUGCGGGUUGUAAAGCACUUUCAAUGGGGAAGAACAGAUUCGGGUCAAUACCCCGGAGCCCUGACGUUACCCACAGAAGAAGCACCGGCUAACUCCGUGCCAGCAG